CCCUGGCAGUCGCGGAGGGGAAGGCUGAGGGACCCGGUCCCCGCCCCGCGUGCUCAGGCUGAACAGCUUUUCUUCCCUGAUCUCUCGGAGGCGCCGGCUGCUGGCCAACGCAGGGCAGCCUCCUGCGUGCGUGCUGUGGGUUUCUCCUUCAGUUUCCUCUCAUUGCCUGAGGUUGGGCCCGAACACGGCGGUACAUUUCCUUGAGAGUCUUCUACAUUCAUGCUGUAGAAGCUAUGAAAGUCGUGGGAAACUAUAGAGUCAACACUGCAAACUCAAGCACUGAUACGUCCGGAGAGCACUUGACCUGCCUUAGAAGAUUUGAAAACAAUUUGUAGCCAACUUCAGUAUGAAUCAAAGCAUUGUUUUAAAAGGAAAGAUUCCUUCUGACAUUAAAUUGCAUUUUCCAAGAACCAGCAACAUCAACCAUCCAGACUUUAAUUAUGGAAUCACAGGUGCAACUGCGUAUCUCCUCAGUAGAGGACAGGAAGAUUUGUGUGACUGGGACUUUAUGGAUUUGGCAUCUCCUGCAAGAUGUGUGUCCAACUCCUGGGAAUACUGUAGCAUGAUUAUAGAAUUGGUUUCUAUUGUCUGUUUUCUGUUUGUUGCUCUCUCAUAAGUUAAGAAUCUUGGAUUUCAAGUCUAUAGUGUAACACUCUUGUUCAUAAUUUCUUAUUUAAAAAAAUGUUUAAAUAUUUCUAUAUUAAGUAUUUUUUCAAACUAUUUGGGCUUGCUAUUGAACAAAUGUUCUCUUUGUAUUGUAUAUUUUGAAGGUGCUAAAAAGCAUCACUAAAACAUUUUGGAAUAUAACAGAAAGAUGGUUAAUACAUUAUACUGACUACUUUUUUCUCAAUUAAGAUAUACAAAUCUUUUAUAUUUAGUAAUCAGAAAGGCAAUAAAGCAUAUGUACCUUACCUCUUCACCAUCCUA
This is a long non-coding RNA of Homo sapiens (human), 927 nucleotides long. Ensembl annotates it as solute carrier family 66 member 1 like (pseudogene). Its record names the gene SLC66A1L. NCBI's taxonomy places the organism in Eukaryota, Metazoa, Chordata, Mammalia, Primates, Hominidae. The record is from Ensembl.